RNAcentral lists this long non-coding RNA (602 nucleotides) under Ananas comosus (pineapple). RNAcentral's name for it is "long non-coding RNA (ACOM_LNC001551)". The record is from RNAcentral. Lineage: Eukaryota; Viridiplantae; Streptophyta; Magnoliopsida; Poales; Bromeliaceae.
AUGGCUAUUUGAUAUAAUUUUUUGGAGCAAUUGCUUAUAUACCUUUAAAAAAAUUUUGGCUUUCUAAUUUACCGUUCUUAGAAAGUUAAUAUUGAAAAUAUUUUUUUUACGUUCCGACCUAUUUCAAAUAUAUUUCUAGAGGUAAAUUCUGUUAAUAAACUGUUAGUAAUAGUUGUUAUUUAUAUGAAAUUACUAUUUUGCGCUUUCAAAUAUAUCAUUUUAUCAUCACCGACUUUUCUUAUUUGUCCUUAAGUUAGAGGUACAAAAAGUAUUUUGAUUUUUAAUCUUUUCAAAUAUACCCUUCUACCAUCACCAACAUUUCUUAUUUGCCCUUAAGUUAAGGACAAAAGAAACAUUUUAUUUUAUUUUUUUAAACUCUAGUAGAUAUUUAACUCACGUUUAACCCACGUUAACUUAACGGACGGUAACUACAGAAAUAUUUUGGAAUAACGGAGGAAUAUAUGAGGGGUGUAUUGGAAAGGAAAAAAAAAAGUAGAAAUAAAUGAGAUAUUUUCGAAGUUUUGAGAGGUAUAUAUAUAGGUAAUUAUUCCUAUUUUUUUUUGCUUCUACGUCGAGCUACAAUUAUCUAUAUUCAGAUAACA